UCUUAAGUAGUUUAGACACACGCCUUUGCUCAAGGAAAUUCACAGAAACCGCCACUGCUACACAUCUUAUGGAAUGACUCACGAGUUCUCCUUCACUGAUUAAUCCUUUUCCUCAUCCCUUCCUCCCCCUCCCAUCUGCCCUAAGAACAAAGAGCUUGUAAACCAGUAAAUUUGGCAGAGCUCAAGAGCUCUGGGCCGUGAGCAAGCCUCCGAUAUUCUGGUCCCCUGAACCCGCCUUUUAAAUGCUUAUUCUGUCUCUUUCUAACUCCUAUGUCUCCACCAGACUCAGGGUACCCACUGGGUGGUGUGGGGCUGGUUUCCCUAACAUUCCCCACCAAAUAAAGCAGCUCCAACCUUCUAGAUGGUUGCUCAGCUCAGAAGUCUUAGAGAAAUUCUGAUGCCUCUCCUCACAUUUGCUCUGUCGGCAAAUCCUGGUGUCACAAGAGGGCUCAGGAGGGUUUCUGGAUGCCAACGAGACCCCAGCCACAGCCGGUCCCCAGAUUCUUGACAUCAUCACAAGAAAGAAUUCACAGGCUCGACUCAAACUUCUGGGCUCAAGUGAUGCUCCUGCUUCAGCCUCCUGAGUAGCUGGGACUACAGGCUUGGUUGCCUGGCUUCCCUGCCCACAGCGUCCCAGAAGCAACAAUCUAGGAAAGGCUGUGAGUCCUGCGGGCUGUCAGAGACUGGCACAGUGGCACCCAGAUAUGACAGAAGACAAAAAUGCCUGAAGCAGAUGCAGCGCGUAUUACCCUGAAUCAAGAAAAGGUGAAUCUCCUUGAGGAUCUUCUGUUUAAGGAAGCAGGGAGAUGCGUAACAUGGUUUAGAAAGAUUUCCAUCCAAAAUGGAAAAAUAGAGAUACUUGUGAUGCUCAAGGAAUAAAUUUUAGUUUUCUGAAAAAGUCACCUAUGCAGAGUUCCUCAGGCCCCAAAGCUGCCAGAUAAAUCACAGUCAGGGCUGGAAGGGACUGUGUCUCCAUUUUACAGAGGAAACCAAAACUCAGAGAGGUUAAGCCACUUCCAUGAGCUCACACAAUAAGUGUCAAUGGGGGAUUUGAAUCCAUGCCUUUUUGAUUCCGGAUGUGGUAACAUGGAGAUGCGCCACCCAGAUCCCCCUUCAAGGAUGGUGAUAGUGUUUUUCCUGUUCAGUUUGACACUUCCAGACCGCCCUGUACAUAAAUCCCAAUAAAUGCUAUGCCUCCUUCACUGGCUCUGGGUCUCUUCUUUGGCCUUUCAGACAUGGUGCCAUCCCUGUUGGAGUCAACAGGAGUCUGGCACAACACAAACUCAGAACUCAGAG
This 1296-nucleotide long non-coding RNA is filed under the name Homo sapiens (human). RNAcentral's name for it is "HSALNT0384849". Lineage: Eukaryota; Metazoa; Chordata; Mammalia; Primates; Hominidae. The record is from RNAcentral.